RNAcentral lists this ribosomal RNA (253 nucleotides) under uncultured bacterium. Its description in RNAcentral is "partial 16S ribosomal RNA". It matches the Rfam family "Bacterial small subunit ribosomal RNA", at positions 524 to 776 of the family's 1533-position model. The record is from RNAcentral.
GACGAACCGUGCGAACGUUGUUCGGAAUCACUGGGCUUAAAGGGCGCGUAGGCGGCUUGCCAAGUCAGGGGUGAAAUCUUUCGGCUCAACCGGAAAAGUGCCUUUGAUACUGGCAGGCUCGAGGGAGGUAGGGGCAUGUGGAACUUCCGGUGGAGCGGUGAAAUGCGUUGAUAUCGGAAGGAACGCCGGUGGCGAAAGCGACGUGCUGGACCUCUUCUGACGCUGAGGCGCGAAAGCCAGGGUAGCGAACGGG